AAAAAAAGAGGCGGACGAAGAGCAAUCAUCGAAGCUGCUAGCUUCUCACAACUAGAAGCCAAUUAAAGUGACUGUAGAUAUGAGAAAUCAACAAGGCCAUUCUGUGUAAGAAUUUCUAUACAGAAAAUAAGGAGAGAAAACAUUGAAAAUAUAAUUGGUAUACCUUAAAGGUAAGUAAUUUACUUUUCCCUUUCAAAUUCUUGAAAUUCUACAAUUUGAUUUUAUAUACGAACAAAGACAACAAAGUUUGAUUAUAACUCUUAUGGAGUCUGUAAGAAAUUAUAACCACGUGAAGUGGUAAAAUCACUAUGUCCUGCCAUGAUUAAAUU
RNAcentral lists this long non-coding RNA (329 nucleotides) under Nicotiana benthamiana. Its description in RNAcentral is "long non-coding RNA (NBEN_LNC007432)". Lineage: Eukaryota; Viridiplantae; Streptophyta; Magnoliopsida; Solanales; Solanaceae. The record is from RNAcentral.